UGGGCACAAGGGAGGCAACUGCGUACGGCUCAUUUAUUACUGAAAAAUUCCUGCGCGAAAUCUCGUUCAUAAAAAAAGUGCCGAUAGGGGGUCGGAAUUACGUCGUUUUUAAGGUGGUUUUCGAUUGGAUAUGGUUAAAAUAAUCACUAAUCAUAUAAGUUAAUACAUUUAUGUUCGCGGUCAAAGCACUUUCGUUUCCACACAGUUGCGUAGAAGAUUAAAAGAAAGCCUCAGAAAAUUUCCGAGAUCAAGAAAAAUAGGUAAGAUACAUUGCCCAGUAGAAAAAUUGCUUUUAUUUUGUAGGUUAAUCAUUCUCCUUUCCAUUCAUGCCACUAAUUGCUUUGCAAAAUGCCGUGAUUCUGCUGGUUGUUGCUAAUGUAUGGACUCACUAUUGACGGGUUUCAUGAAUGGCAAGAUGGCCGCCGUUGUUGACAAUUCAUACGACGUAAAUAUCAAUUGUUCUUUUUUUCCUCUGUAAAGUUGCCAUAAAAUGUGUUGUACGUGCUAAACAUCAUUGAAGGAUAUAUUUAUGCCGACAUUAUAUCGUAAUGACAUAUGUCUGAUACUAAUAAGUCAGAGUCUCAGGAUUGGGAAGAGUUUGACUCGGAGUCUGACAGUGAGCGUUCGGAGCCUGACAGUGAGCGUGUAUCACCGCAGCCAGGUCAAUUUACACAAGACCUGGCUGCAAUAGCUGAAAAGUUGAAGCUUCCGCAUCAGAUUACCGCAAGAAGCUGCCGUUUGUGAAUGCGGCCCCGAUGGAGGAGAUUGAGGCAAAGAAGCUGAAGGCAGCGGGAGGAAAAGAAAAGAAAUCAG
Dreissena polymorpha is the source of this 813-nucleotide long non-coding RNA. RefSeq lists it as uncharacterized. The transcript is spliced from 3 exons. The record is from RefSeq and is a predicted model, not a curated record. NCBI's taxonomy places the organism in Eukaryota, Metazoa, Mollusca, Bivalvia, Myida, Dreissenidae.